This 3048-nucleotide ribosomal RNA is filed under the name Elusimicrobiota bacterium. RNAcentral describes it as "Elusimicrobia bacterium (groundwater metagenome) 23S ribosomal RNA". It matches the Rfam family "Bacterial large subunit ribosomal RNA". Lineage: Bacteria; Pseudomonadati; Elusimicrobiota. The record is from RNAcentral.
GGUCAGGUAAUUAAGGGUAUAUGGUGGAUGUCUUGGUUGAGGUCGCUGACGAAGGCCGUGGUAAGCUGCGAUAAGGUGCGGGGAGGAGCAAACAUCCUUUGAUCCGCACAUUGCCGAAUGGGGAAACCCGUCUCUGGGGAAACCCAGAGACAUCGCACAACGAAUAAAGUAGUAGUUGUGCGAAGACAACCCGGGGAAGUGAAACAUCUCAGUACCCGGAGGAAAAGAAAUCAACGCCGCAAGGCGGCGAGAUUCCCUUAGUAGUGGCGAGCGAAACGGGAACAGCCUAAACCUGAUGGUGCAAACCAAAAGGGGUUGUAGGGCUCAUCCGGUGUAGAACCAGGGAGUUACCAAUCAUACGGAUAUCUGAACGGUCCUGGAACGGCCGACCAGAGAAGGUGAGAGUCCUGUAUGGAAAAUCUGUAUGGCUCCCGAUGAGUUCCUGAGUACCACGGGACACGUGAAAUCCCGUGGGAAUCUGGGGGGACCAUCCUCCAAGGCUAAAUACGGACCUCAGACCGAUAGUGAAUUAGUACCGCGAGGGAAAGAUGAAAAGAACCCCGGAAGGGGAGUGAAAUAGAACCUGAAACCGUAUACCUACAAGCAGUCAAAGGGCUAUGACGGACGUCCCGUUAUGCUGGAGCAAUCUGGCAGAAACGAACGCCGUAAUGCCUGAUGGCGUGCCUGUCGAAGAAUGAUCCGGCGAGUUACUCUAACGAGUGAGUAUAAGUUUGUCAUCAAAAGUGGCAAACGAAAGCACAGGGAAACCGAGUCCGAAUAGGGCGAUUAACUCGUUAGAGUAGACCCGAAGCCAAGUGAUCUAUCCCUGGUCAGGCUGAAGUUUCGGUAACACGGAAUGGAGGGCUGAACCAUUUGCCGUUGCAAAGGCACUGGAUGAACUGGGGAUAGGGGUGAAAGGCCAAUCUAACUUGGUGAUAGCUGGUUCUCCCCGAAAUAGCUUUAGGGCUAGCCUGUCAAUUUAACUGUGAUGGGUAGAGCACUGGAUAGUGUAGGGUCUGUAACCCAGAUUCCGAAUCUAACCAAACUCCGAAUACUCACAGGAAUAUUGAUGGAGUCAGUGCGUGACGGAUAAGCGCCACGCGCAAAAGGGGAACAGCCCAGACCGUUGAAUAAGGUCCCUAAAUUGAGGUUAAGUGGGAAAGGACGUGAGAUUGCUUAGACAGCUAGGAAGUUGGCUUAGAAGCAGCCAUCUUUUAAAGAGUGCGUAACAGCUCACUAGUCAAGCGAUUUCGCGCUAAAAAUACACGGGGCUAAACCUCGUACCGAAUUCACGGCUGUCCCCCCUGUCAGUUUUGCAAUAGUAAAACUAGGGGGGACGGGGUAGGGGAGCGUUCCCAGCGCAGAGAAGGUAUACCGUAAGGAGUACUGGAGCGCUGGGAAGUGAGGAUGUCGGAAUAAGUAGCGAUAAGGGAGGUGAAAAUCCUCCCCGCCGUAAGCCCAAGGUUUCCUUGAGCAAUGUUCGUCAGCUCAGGGUUAGUCGGUCCUAAGUUGAGGCCGAAAGGCGUAAACGAAGGACAUCCGGUUAAUAUUCCGGAACCAACCUAGUAGCGUUAAAACUGUGUGUGUUCGCAUCAGAGUAAGACCAUCCCGAGAUUGGUUGUUCGGGUUUAAUUCAGGCGUGAGCCUGAAGAGUACGAUUGCAGGGUAACCUGUGAGAAGUGGUAGAAUCUGGUGACAAGAAAAGCACACUUCAGGAGUCAUUAGGUUGACCGUACCGAAAACCAACACAGGUGGGCGACCAGAACAUGGUAAGGCGCGCGAGUAACCCGCCGCUAAGGAACUCGGCAAAUUGGCUCCGUAACUUCGGAAUAAGGAGUGCCUGAGUACUCAUGGCGCAAGCCAGGACGAAAAGGCCGCAGUUAAGAGCCUCUUACGACUGUUUAACAAAAACACAGGUCUCUGCUGAAAUCUCAAGAUGAUGUAUAGGGACUGACGCCUGCCCGGUGCCGGAAGGUCAAGAGGAUGUGUGCAAGCACUGAUUCUAAGCCCCGGUAAACGGCGGCCGUAACUAUAACGGUCCUAAGGUAGCGAAAUUCCUUGUCGGGUAAGUUCCGACCUGCACGAAUGGCGUAACGAGAAGAGGACUGUCUCGGCGGCGGACUCGGCGAAUUUGUGGUAUCCGUGAAGACGCGGAUUGCCUGCGGUUAGACGAAAAGACCCCGUGGAGCUUUACUGCAACCUGAUAUUGAAUUACGGGGUGGAAUGCGUAGGAUAGGUGGGAGCCUUUGAAAUCCUGGUUUUGGCCAGGAUGGAGGCGUCCUUGAAAUACCACCCUUUCUAUCUUGUGGUUCUAAUCCGAUGCUUUGAAACGAGCACAGAGACAGUGUUUGGUGGGCAGUUUAACUGGGGCGGUUGCCUCCUAAAAGAUAACGGAGGCGUCCAAAGGUACCCUCACCACGAAUAGAAAUCGUGGGUUGAGUGCAAGGGCAUAAGGGUGCUUGACUGCGAGUCCGACGGGACAAGCAGAUACGAAAGUAGGGCCUAGUGAUCCGGUGGUUUCGAAUGGAAGUGCCAUCGCUCAACGGAUAAAAGCUACCCCGGGGAUAACAGGCUAAUCUGACCCGAGAGUCCAUAUCGACGGUCAGGUUUGGCACCUCGAUGUCGGCUCAUCCCAUCCUGGGGCUGGAGUAGGUCCCAAGGGUUUGGCUGUUCGCCAAUUAAAGGGGUACGUGAGCUGGGUUCAGUACGUCGUGAGACAGUACGGUCUCUAUCUACCGUGGGCGUUGGAAACUUGAGGGGUUCUGUCCUUAGUACGAGAGGACCAGGAUGGACCAGCCUCUGGCGUUCCUGCUAUCGCGCCAGCGGUAUUAGCAGGGUAACUAUUGCUGGUACGGAAUAACCGCUGAAAGCAUCUAAGCGGGAAGUCCACCCCAAGAUAAGGUUUCCCUUCCAGGAUGCGUCACUCCGCAAGGUUUGAUGCUGAAUGGACUAAAGGUCACCAGAAGACUACUGGUUUAAUAGGCCGGAUGUGUAAGCACAGUAAUGUGUUGAGCUGACCGGUACUAAUUGACCGUGAGUCCUGGCCAU